UCUCUCUCUCUCUUUGUCUGUCUCUCUCGCUCUCUCUCUCUCUCUCUCUCUCUCCCCCAUUCCCCAUUCCUCCUUCCCCCAGACAGCAAGGAGGCACUGAGGGGUUUUUUUUGGACUCCUGGGUGGGUUUAUCAUCGCAAUAACUGGGCACCGAAAGGGGGUUGUCAUAAAUAUGACCACAGAAGAGGUGAGAGAGGCAGAAAAAGACAAAGAUGGUGCUCGCAUCAUCUGUGUGGAACAGCACAAGACCCAACGCUAUCACGGACAAGCGGCUGUUCCCCUCCACCGUCACGAGUAUGCCUGGAUGCAGCGAUACAACCAGCUAAGAGGUCAAGUUGAAGGAGUGUCUGCAGAGACCUUUUUUCACAACACCAAUGGGGGGGGUCCUGCUCAAGCUGCCAGAGCUCUUUCAAGCUGCUUGGAAGUCGAUGAAUUUGGGGUCUGCACCCACUUUCAACAUGUUGAGCGGAUGAUCCGACGGAGGACAUUCUUCAGAGCAGAGCACUGACAGUUCUGGCCAUUUCAACCUAUGCUCUGAAAAAAGGGGCCAAAGGUGGCGAAAAAGGUUCCAACAGAAGGAGAUAGAGACUUCUGGCCAAGAGGAGCAGGUGGAGGAGAAGGAAGAAGAGGAAGACCACGAGGCAGAAGAAGAGAAGGAGCAAGAAUUAGAAAGAUCUUACGACCUGCGCAAAAAGGAACCCGUGCCUUCAAGCCAACAAAGACAAAGAGUGAGCUCUUCUGAAGAGGACAAGAAGGACAAAGUUGCAGUAAAAGUACCCUGUAAGUAUCCAGCAGGCCUUUGUUAGUCCAGGUACAGCAGCGAUUUUAAAAUGUCCUCCACAAAAAACUUUUCCUGACCCAACCGAGAGGCAGAGCAAGCUUGAGCAGUUAUUGUUUCAUCAGUGAAGCCUAUGUAAGUUAAAAUAAGAAAAGAAAGAAAGAAGA
This is a long non-coding RNA of Scatophagus argus, 945 nucleotides long. RefSeq lists it as uncharacterized. NCBI's taxonomy places the organism in Eukaryota, Metazoa, Chordata, Actinopteri, Scatophagidae. The transcript is spliced from 7 exons. The record is from RefSeq and is a predicted model, not a curated record.